UGGGGAAUUUUGGACAAUGGGGGAAACCCUGAUCCAGCCAUCCCGCGUGUGCGAUGAAGGCCUUCGGGUUGUAAAGCACUUUUGGCAGGAAAGAAACGUCGCGGGUUAAUACCCCGCGAAACUGACGGUACCUGCAGAAUAAGCACCGGCUAACUACGUGCCAGCAGCCGCGGUAAUACGUAGGGUGCAAGCGUUAAUCGGAAUUACUGGGCGUAAAGCGUGCGCAGGCGGUUCGGAAAGAAAGAUGUGAAAUCCCAGAGCUUAACUUUGGAACUGCAUUUUUAACUACCGGGCUAGAGUGUGUCAGAGGGAGGUGGAAUUCCGCGUGUAGCAGUGAAAUGCGUAGAUAUGCGGAGGAACACCGAUGGCGAAGGCAGCCUCCUGGGAUAACACUGACGCUCAUGCACGAAAGCGUGGGGAGCAAACAGGAUUAGAUACCCUGGUAGUCCACGCCCUAAACGAUGUCAACUAGCUGUUGGGGGCCUUCGGGCCUUGGUAGCGCAGCUAACGCGUGAAGUUGACCGCCUGGGGGAGUACGGUCGCAAGAUUAAAACUCAAAUGAAUUGACGGGGGUCAUAGCUG
RNAcentral lists this ribosomal RNA (582 nucleotides) under uncultured bacterium. Its description in RNAcentral is "partial 16S ribosomal RNA". It matches the Rfam family "Bacterial small subunit ribosomal RNA", at positions 355 to 928 of the family's 1533-position model. The record is from RNAcentral.